ACCCGGGACCCUUCAGUCUGCAGGCCAACGCUCUAUCCACUGAGCCAAUCCGGAUGCAUUGCUGUGAGGAAGGAAGUCCAGCAGCCAGCCUCAACUCCAAACAUGUAAGGGAACUUUUAAGCCACUACAGCUGACACGAAGUGAAACAGAGACAAGCUGUUCUCAUCAAGCCCUGCCCAAAUUUCAGGUCCAAAACUUUGGAGAUACAUUUGCUCACAUCUGACAUCCCAUUUACUAGGAAACCUUGUUGGCCCUGUCUUCACAAAAUACCAAACAUCUCACCACUUCUCACCACCUCCACUGAUACUGUGCUCGCUCAAGCCACUGUCUGGAUUAUUUCACAGCUUCUUAACAGGUCUCCUGCAUCUACAUUUUCUCUAUACAGUAACCAGUUGGAUGUUCUUCAAACACAGCCACAGCAACCACUUUGAUUCUCCUUAAACUUGCAAGACACACUCCAGCUUUGCUCUUGUCCUCUCUUCUGGAAUGCUCUUUCUCCAGCUAGCAAUAUAACAGAAAACUCUGAAAUGACAAGGACUUAAACAAGCCGUUUCUGUGUCCACUUGUCCACUUGUCCACUUGCUGAGCAUAUCCCAAACUCCCUCAUGCCUCUUUUGGAGGUGAACUGUGAAAUAAACUAGGUCACUUGGAGUUGAAAACAAAGAAAGGAGAGAAGAAGAAGAAGUUUUCUGCUGGCUUUUGAGCAGAUGGAUCUCAUGGUUAUGAAGGCUGAGAAGGCCCAAAUGAUGCAAAGCUAGGGACUGAAUCCAAGAAUACCUAUCCAGCAAGGCUAUCAUUCAGAAUUGAAGGGGAAAUAAGGAGCUUCACAGACAAAAACGGGUCUUUGAAUGUUAAGCAUCUUUUGCUGUGGAAGGAAAAGUAUGCCUGCUAAAGGGCUUUCUGACGUCAAGGAGCUGGUUGGGAAGGUUUUUAAGCUCCUGAGUUACCCCUGACAGAGGAGACCCUGGGCUGUGUGGACCUUUGGUCUUCCCUGCAAGCAUCUCAGAUAAUUUUCAGAUUAGCAGCACACAGAAGCAAAACCCGUGUAAAAAGCUGAAGUGAAACGCCCAGCUCUCCACAUGACACAUGCCUGUACUACACUGUGACUGACAGUAGGUUAUCCUGGGCUUCUUCACAUGGUAAUGGAAGUACUGCCAGCUGUAAGGAAGAGCAAGCCUCAAUUUGUCAUGUGUUCUAUAUUUGGAUUUCCAUAUCUGGCUAUUGAUAACAGAAGACAGCAAGAAAGAAACAUUUUGUCAACUCCAGUGUAGAGCAGUGAUUCUCAAAUUCUAAUACACCUGUGAACCACCUGAGAC
Long non-coding RNA from Myotis myotis, 1316 nucleotides. RefSeq lists it as uncharacterized. Lineage: Eukaryota; Metazoa; Chordata; Mammalia; Chiroptera; Vespertilionidae. The transcript has 11 exons. The record is from RefSeq and is a predicted model, not a curated record.